Molecule: ribosomal RNA, 465 nt
Filed under: uncultured bacterium
Lineage: Bacteria
Description: partial 16S ribosomal RNA
Rfam family: Bacterial small subunit ribosomal RNA
Source: RNAcentral
CCUACGGGAGGCAGCAGUGGGGAAUAUUGCGCAAUGGGCGAAAGCCUGACGCAGCGACGCCGCGUGAGGGAUGAAGGUCUUCGGAUCUUAAACCUCUUUCAGCAGGGAAGAACGGUCACUUUGCUAAUCAGCAGUGAAUUGACGGUACCUUCAAAGGAAGCACCGGCUAACUCCGUGCCAGCAGCCUCGUUCAUACGGUGGGUGCGAUCGUUAGUCGGAAUUACUUGGCGUAAAGCGCUCGUAGGCGGUAUGUCAAGUCAAGGGUGAAAUCCCCGGGCUCAACGUGGGAACUGCCUUUGAAACUGGGAAACUGGAGUGUGGGAGAGGAUAGUGGAAUUCCAGGUGUAGGGGUGAAAUCCGUAGAUAUCUGGAGGAACAUCAGUGGCGAAGGCGACUAUCUGGCACAUAACUGACGCUGAGGAGCGAAAGCGUGGGUAGCAAACAGGAUUAGAUACCCCUGUAGUC